CACUUAGUCAUUUUAAUUUCCCUGAAUCACCACCACCACCAACACUACCGCCACCACUAUCACCACCACCACCACCACCACCACAACACCGAUUUAUUAUUAUUAUUAUUAUUAUUUUAUUUACUUAUUCUUAUCAUCACAAGUUGGAGUUUUAUUGAUUUAUUUCCUUGUUAUUUAUUUAUUCAUCUUUAUUUAUUGAAAGUGUUAGAUAAUGUAGCAUAGGAUCGUUCUGUUGGAUGUUGUGGGGUAAAGGUAAUCAGAAUGGAAAUAAUUGAAUAUAGACGCUGGGAAAGACUGUAUUUGAGAAGUUUUCUGUUAUUUUAGGCCAAGACACUGAAAGAAAGCGAGAUACAUCUACAAAGGACUGCAAAAUAAUGCCAAGACACUGAAAGAAAACGAGAUACAUCUACAAAGGACUGCAAAAUAAUGUACGUAGGAAGACCUUUAGACAUUGUGAGGUGAACGUAACUGGAAUAUGAAUAAAAA
Long non-coding RNA from Portunus trituberculatus (swimming crab), 486 nucleotides. RefSeq lists it as uncharacterized. The record is from RefSeq and is a predicted model, not a curated record. NCBI's taxonomy places the organism in Eukaryota, Metazoa, Arthropoda, Malacostraca, Decapoda, Portunidae. The transcript has 2 exons.